CAGCGCCACGAGUGGCAACCAUGAUUAUUGGGCCUAAAGCGUUCGUAGCCGGUUUAGUAAAUUUUCUGUGAAAUCGUCCAGCUCAACUGAACGACGUGCAGAAAACACUGCUAGACUUGAGACCGGGAGGAGCAAGGAGUAUUCUUGGGGGAGCGGUAAAAUGUUAUAAUCCCUUGAAGACUACCUGUGGCGAAGGCGCCUCGCUAGAACGGAUCUGACGGUGAGGGACGAAAGCCAGGGGAGCGAACCGGAUUAGAUACCCGAGUAGUCC
RNAcentral lists this ribosomal RNA (271 nucleotides) under uncultured archaeon. RNAcentral's name for it is "partial 16S ribosomal RNA". It matches the Rfam family "Archaeal small subunit ribosomal RNA", at positions 477 to 747 of the family's 1478-position model. The record is from RNAcentral.